CUGGGCAACGUGGCAAAACCCUGUCUCUACUAAAUAUACAAAAAAAUUAGCCAGGCGUGGUGGCACAUGCUUGUAGUCCCCAGCUACUCAGGAGGCUGAGGCAUGAGAAUUGCCUGAGCCUGGGAGGCAGAAGUUGCAGUGAGCCGAGAUCACCCCCACUAUACUCCAGCCUAAUGACAGAGUGACACUCUGUCUCAAAAAAUUAAAUUAGCCAGGCAUGGUAGCACACCCCAAUAGUCUCAGCUACUCAUGAGGCUGAGUAGGGAGGACUGCUUCAACCUGGGAAGUCAAGGUUGCAGUAAGCCGUGAUCAUGCCACUUUAUUCUAGUUUGAGUGACACAGUGAGACCCUGUCAAGAAAAAAUAAUAAUAACCUGUGUUCUCAUGGAGAGUUGUCUAUUACCAGAUGAAUGAAUCUCAGGUUUUUUUAGGGGUAACAAGUCUGGUACCCCAGAUGAGACCCAGGGUUGAGCCCUGACUUGACCUCCCUUAUAGGCUCCUGGCAGGCAAAGCAGUGGGAUGUGGAAGCAUGCGUGGGCCAACUCACCUCAGUUGCCAAGAAGGAGACUAGAGAAGGGCCUUGGGACCCCUGACCUGGUGUCUAGUGUAGUCCACUGACCAGCACCACAAGACCUCUCUGGGAGAGUAGAAGCGGCUGCCUAGAGCCCAGACCUUUUGCUCGGUGCUGCUUUGAAGCAGCAGCUCCAUGAACUACUAAAAGAGUGGUCUGGGUUUUGAUCAUUAGGAUUCUGGGUUGUCAGGAUUAGGACCUAGGUCAAGGGAUCCAGGAUUGUUGAGAAAAAGAAGUUCCUUCUUUCAGGUCUGGGAGACUGAGAGACAUCGCCAUCGUUUUAACAAGGGGAAUCCCCAACAAAAAGACAAGGAUGCUUGUCUUCAGGCUUUGUUCCCUACGUGGUAUAACUGUAGGGCUCAAUAUUCUUACUUGUCUGUGGCCUGAAUGAAUAUGAAGUCUGGAUUCUUCUACCCUUAGUCUGUGGCAACCCCUAAAAUAUCAGGCUUUGUUUUGCAGCAGUCACAGAAGGACUGCUGUUAGUUUGAUGAGGAGACCCAAGUUUCAAAGGGGGCAGUUUUGGUGGGAUCAUGAUCCCUGGAACCAGAAUGCAGUGAUACAAAGGUUACAUGAACAGUGUGUGUGCUUUCUCUGAGGAAACACCUCACUCACUUGAUUGAUUUACCUACCUCCCCACCACCUGAGCUGGAUCCAGAACUACUUCAUUGUCUCCAUGAGAUCUCCUGGGAGGCUGCCCGGACCGAACAUGAUCCAGGGAAAGGAAAUCCCUGUUAUCCUCUCAGCUUCCCAGGACCUCUGGAUGGCUUUGCAUGGUGGCCAGCAAAGAGGACCAGAAGUAUUCAAGCUGAGUUGUGGGAUUUGUGUCAUCAUUAAUCUCCAGAGUUUGGAAGCCCCUCAGACUGUGUGCAGAGACCGUAGAAUGUCGUGAACUAGGUCUUGGAAGGAGAGCUUGUUAGGGUGCCUCCUCUGGCAAUGGAAACUGCAUAUCCACCCAUGACCAAAAAGCAAAUGAUAUAUUACUGUAAUACAGCCUGGCUCCAGUAUUCCCUAGAUCAGAAGAGAUGGUCUGAAUAUGGGUCACUUACUGCAACUCUCCAAUUGGACUUUUUUUGCAAGAAACAUGGUAAAUGGGAAGAAAUGCCCUAUAUGCAAUGUUUUAUGGCCCUCUAUCAAAACCCUGCCUUGCAGAUGAAAUGCAGAAUAUGUAAAUUGGCCAAAGGGAACUAUAUUGCCAAUUCUAGAAGCCUCUGGAGAGGAAGCAUCAGUCAUGUGGGGGCCUAUAGGGAAGGGAACAAGUAAGAAGAGUCCCUUUACUACCCCCUCCAAGAGAAGUGAGGCCCUCUAACUCUACUCGGGGACUGGAACCUUGGCCAAUACAGGGGCAUAGUCCACCUUCUUGGAAAUGGUACCCUCUGCACCUCCAGGGAAAAGCAAGGGCCCGUUCUGUAUUUGCCAGGCCCUCCAAACUCUGCAGAGCCAGCUGUGGCUCCUGCUAUGGCAAUAGCAGGCCCCUGUUGCACUCUUCUUUGCCAGGGAGCACCACUCAUAGUGGGAACGCAUAUAACCCUGGAGGGUGACUGUUGCCACUCAGAGCAUGCCUGUUGGAGAAAGAGGUUUUGCUCGGGUCUAUGUGUUUUUUAAAACUGUUGACUUGUAUAACUGGAAAUCCCAUAGUAAGGGCUUAUGGGUGAGCCCACGAGAGUUCGUAACUCUCAUAUGGAGAAUAUUCUCCACACAUAACCCUACCUGGCCAGGUGUGCAGACCGUAACAGCAACCCUGCUCACAGCAGAAGAUAAAUCUGCCACCAUGGCCAAAACUAAGGAGGAGGCAGACAAUAUGUGUGCUGAUAACCUGGUGACCUGGCCCGUUGAGGUGUCAGUCCCAAUAGCCAACCCAAACUGGGACCCCAGUGAUAACAAGAAUCAAGAGUGGCUUCAUCAUUAUAGGAAUAUGCUUCUCAGAGGUAUGAGGGAAGCAAGCCAGUCCCUGGUCAAUUGGGGAAAUCUCAGAGAAAUAGAACAAGGCCCUAAUGAAAAUCCAUCAGCAUUCCUAAAUUGAUAAUAAGAAUGCCUCCAGAAUUACACCCCUUGGGACCCAGAUGACCCAAAAGCUGAGUAGUACUUUAAUCUCACUUCAUCUCUCAGCCCCAGAUAUUCAGAGAAAACUCUAAAAAGUGGCAAUAAAUCCACAUACUCCCCCUUUCCAACUGGUAGACAUCUCCUUUAAGGUCUAUAGUAAAGAGAUGUGGCAUCUGAUGAAAAGGAAGACAAGAAGAUGCGGCAGCCCUACAGACUACUUCAGGAAGCCCAGGAAGAAGAUGGCAUGGAUUAGAAAAAUUUCAACUGUAGGUGCCUUUGCAACCUAUCCUGGGAGACCCUAAAACAUAUUUAGUUUUAGUGCCUAGAGAUUUUCACUCCUCUAACAUCUCUGGAUACAGUGUCCCUGGUCAACAUGAAGAAGUUACAGAAGAACGCUUUCUGAUCCUGGCCCCUAAAGAAUUUACUUGUGCUAAGUAAUAAAAUUCCUAUUGAUCAAAACCUGUGUCCUUGUGGAGAGUCAGAUAUCUGUUACUAUCCAGGUGAAUGAACCCUGGGUUUUUUGGGUGGUAACAGGACCUGAGGGGCUGCAGAGCCUACCUGUGUAAAGGAGAUAGCUACUACUCAACCCCAGCCCAUAGCUAGCACGUAAAAAUUCAGGCUUCGUGUUGACAGAGUAUCUAAAUGAUCUAGAAGUCCAGAAUUUUUAUUUUCAAAUAUCCGAGUUUUCAGCUGUUGGCAACUGUGGUCUUAUGAUACAUACUGGUUUUUGUCUAAGGUUCCUGGCUCACAACUCCCAUAGCCCUUGUUACAGUCUUUUGUUAUAAUGUUGGGUGUGUCAGGCCUUAGGAGCCAGCCUCUGGAAGCAGAAUCUCUCGACCUUCUCUAGUCCUCCUUUCACCUGCCCCAAGGCACCACUCUAAUCGCCCACCUUUG
This 3504-nucleotide long non-coding RNA is filed under the name Homo sapiens (human). Its description in RNAcentral is "non-protein coding lnc-COX11-2:5". The record is from RNAcentral. Lineage: Eukaryota; Metazoa; Chordata; Mammalia; Primates; Hominidae.